This 162-nucleotide ribosomal RNA is filed under the name Rhizophora apiculata. Its description in RNAcentral is "5.8S ribosomal RNA". It matches the Rfam family "5.8S ribosomal RNA". Rfam says of the family: 5.8S ribosomal RNA (5.8S rRNA) is a component of the large subunit of the eukaryotic ribosome. It is transcribed by RNA polymerase I as part of the 45S precursor that also contains 18S and 28S rRNA. The record is from RNAcentral. Lineage: Eukaryota; Viridiplantae; Streptophyta; Magnoliopsida; Malpighiales; Rhizophoraceae.
AACGACUCUCGGCAACGGAUAUCUCGGCUCUCGCAUCGAUGAAGAACGUAGCGAAAUGCGAUACUUGGUGUGAAUUGCAGAAUCCCGCGAACCAUCGAGUCUUUGAACGCAAGUUGCGCCCGAAGCAAUCCCGCCGAGGGCACGUCUGCCUGGGUGUCACAC